AGCGGGGGAGUAGCAAUACUCCCGCCGGCGACCGGCGCACGGGUGAGUAACACGUAUGAAACCUGCCCGUAGCAGGGGGAUAAGCGGAAGAAAUUCCGUCUAAUACCGCGUAACAACCCAUGGAGGCAUCUCCGUGGGUUUAAAGGAAGCGAUUCCGGCUACGGAUGGUCAUGCGUCGCAUUAGCUUGUUGGCGGGGUAACGGCCCACCAAGGCGACGAUGCGUAGGGGUUCUGAGAGGAAGGUCCCCCACACUGGUACUGAGACACGGACCAGACUCCUACGGGAGGCAGCAGUGAGGAAUAUUGGUCAAUGGCCGCAGGGCUGAACCAGCCAAGUCGCGUGAGGGAUGACGGUCCUAUGGAUUGUAAACCUCUUUUGUCAGGGAGCAAAGGGCGCCACGUGUGGCGUUUUGCGAGUACCUGAAGAAAAAGCAUCGGCUAACUCCGUGCCAGCAGCCGCGGUAAUACGGAGGAUGCGAGAGUUAUCCGGAUUUAUUGGGUUUAAAGGGUGCGCAGGCGGAAUGUCAAGUCAGCGGUAAAAUUUCGGGGCUCAACCCCGUCGUGCCGUUGAAACUGGCGUUCUUGAGUGAGCGAGAAGUAUGCGGAAUGCGUGGUGUAGCGGUGAAAUGCAUAGAUAUCACGCAGAACUCCGAUUGCGAAGGCAGCAUACCGGCGCUCAACUGACGCUCAUGCACGAAAGCGUGGGUAUCGAACA
RNAcentral lists this ribosomal RNA (715 nucleotides) under uncultured bacterium. Its description in RNAcentral is "bacterial SSU rRNA". It matches the Rfam family "Bacterial small subunit ribosomal RNA", at positions 67 to 774 of the family's 1533-position model. The record is from RNAcentral.